This 465-nucleotide ribosomal RNA is filed under the name Vreelandella stevensii. RNAcentral describes it as "partial 16S ribosomal RNA". It matches the Rfam family "Bacterial small subunit ribosomal RNA", at positions 338 to 795 of the family's 1533-position model. The record is from RNAcentral. Lineage: Bacteria; Pseudomonadati; Pseudomonadota; Gammaproteobacteria; Oceanospirillales; Halomonadaceae.
CCUACGGGGGGCAGCAGUGGGGAAUAUUGGACAAUGGGGGCAACCCUGAUCCAGCCAUGCCGCGUGUGUGAAGAAGGCCCUCGGGUUGUAAAGCACCUUCAGUGAGGAAGAACGCCUGGUGGUUAAUACCCAUCAGGAAAGACAUCACUCACAGAAGAAGCACCGGCUAACUCCGUGCCAGCAGCCGCGGUAAUACGGAGGGUGCGAGCGUUAAUCGGAAUUACUGGGCGUAAAGCGCGCGUAGGUGGCUUGAUAAGCCGGUUGUGAAAGCCCCGGGCUCAACCUGGGAACGGCAUCCGGAACUGUCAAGCUAGAGUGCAGGAGAGGAAGGUAGAAUUCCCGGUGUAGCGGUGAAAUGCGUAGAGAUCGGGAGGAAUACCAGUGGCGAAGGCGGCCUUCUGGACUGACACUGACACUGAGGUGCGAAAGCGUGGGUAGCAAACAGGAUUAGAUACCCUUGUAGUC